This 469-nucleotide ribosomal RNA is filed under the name Micrococcineae bacterium CL5.101. Its description in RNAcentral is "bacterial SSU rRNA". It matches the Rfam family "Bacterial small subunit ribosomal RNA", at positions 17 to 500 of the family's 1533-position model. The record is from RNAcentral. Lineage: Bacteria; Bacillati; Actinomycetota; Actinomycetes; Micrococcales.
CCCUGGCUCAGGAUGAACGCGGCGGCGUGCUUAACACAUGCAAGUCGAACGAUGAUCCCAGCUUGCUGGGGGAUUAGUGGCGAACGGGUGAGUAACACGUGAGUAACCUGCCCUUAACUCUGGGAUAAGCCUGGGAAACUGGGUCUAAUACCGGAUAUGACUCCUCAUCGCAUGGUGGGGGGUGGAAAGCUUUAUUGUGGUUUUGGAUGGACUCGCGGCCUAUCAGCUUGUUGGUGAGGUAAUGGCUCACCAAGGCGACGACGGGUAGCCGGCCUGAGAGGGUGACCGGCCACACUGGGACUGAGACACGGCCCAGACUCCUACGGGAGGCAGCAGUGGGGAAUAUUGCACAAUGGGCGAAAGCCUGAUGCAGCGACGCCGCGUGAGGGAUGACGGCCUUCGGGUUGUAAACCUCUUUCAGUAGGGAAGAAGCGAAAGUGACGGUACCUGCAGAAGAAGCGCCGGCUAA